AGAGUUUGAUCCUGGCUCAGGAUGAACGCUAGCUACAGGCUUAACACAUGCAAGUCGAGGGGAAACGACAUCGAAAGCUUGCUUUUGAUGGGCGUCGACCGGCGCACGGGUGAGUAACGCGUAUCCAACCUGCCCACCACUUGGGGAUAACCUUGCGAAAGUAAGACUAAUACCCAAUGACGUCUCUAGAAGACAUCUGAAAGAGAUUAAAGAUUAUCGGUGAUGGAUGGGGAUGCGUCUGAUUAGCUUGGUUGGCGGGGUAACGGCCACCAAGGCGACGAUCAGGUAGGGGUUCUGGAGGAGGAACGGUCCCCCGANAGUUAGGAACUGGACGACAACCGGUACCAAACCUCCCGUAACGGGGACGGCA
RNAcentral lists this ribosomal RNA (370 nucleotides) under uncultured bacterium. RNAcentral describes it as "bacterial SSU rRNA". It matches the Rfam family "Bacterial small subunit ribosomal RNA", at positions 8 to 353 of the family's 1533-position model. The record is from RNAcentral.